This 328-nucleotide unclassified non-coding RNA is filed under the name soil metagenome. Its description in RNAcentral is "partial contains 5.8S ribosomal RNA, internal transcribed spacer 2, and large subunit ribosomal RNA". The stretch from base 1 to 120 matches the Rfam family "5.8S ribosomal RNA", at positions 35 to 154 of the family's 154-position model. The record is from RNAcentral.
GAUGAAGAACGUAGCGAAAUGCGAUAAGUAAUGUGAAUUGCAGAAUUCAGUGAAUCAUCGAAUCUUUGAACGCACAUUGCGCCCCUUGGUAUUCCGAGGGGCAUGCCUGUUUGAGCGUCAUUAUAACCCCUCAAGCUCAGCUUGGUGUUGGGGCCUGCCGCACGGGCAGCCCUUAAAAUCAGUGGCGGUGCCAUCUGGCUCUAAGCGUAGUAAUUCUUCUCGCUAUAGAGUCCCGGUGGAUGCUUGCCAUUAACCCCCAAUUUUCUAUGGUUGACCUCGGAUCAGGUAGGGAUACCCGCUGAACUUAAGCAUAUCAAUAAGCGGAGGA